RNAcentral lists this ribosomal RNA (253 nucleotides) under uncultured bacterium. Its description in RNAcentral is "partial 16S ribosomal RNA". It matches the Rfam family "Bacterial small subunit ribosomal RNA", at positions 524 to 776 of the family's 1533-position model. The record is from RNAcentral.
UACAGAGGAUGCAAGCGUUAUCCGGAAUUACUGGGCGUAAAGCGCACGCAGGCGGUUCGCCAAGUUUGGAGUGACAGUUGUCGGCUCAACCGACAAAGGACUUCAAAAACUGGUGAACUUGAGGACGAGAGAGGAACAUGGAACUCCAGGUGUAGUAGUGAAAUGCGUAGAUAUCUGGAAGAACACCAAUGGCGAAGGCAAUGUUCUGGCUCGUUUCUGACGCUCAGGUGCGAAAGCCAGGGGAGCGAACGGG